UNUUCAUAGGUGCUAGGAUAUAUUUGG
RNAcentral lists this non-coding RNA (27 nucleotides) under Mus musculus (house mouse). Lineage: Eukaryota; Metazoa; Chordata; Mammalia; Rodentia; Muridae. The record is from RNAcentral.